Molecule: ribosomal RNA, 253 nt
Filed under: uncultured bacterium
Lineage: Bacteria
Description: partial 16S ribosomal RNA
Rfam family: Bacterial small subunit ribosomal RNA
Source: RNAcentral
UACGUAGGGGGCAAGCGUUGUCCGGAAUCAUUGGGCGUAAAGAGCGUGUAGGCGGCCCGGUAAGUCCGCUGUGAAAGUCAAAGGCUCAACCUUUGAAAGCCGAUGGAUACUGCAGGGCUAGAGUCCGGAAGAGGCGAGUGGAAUUCCUGGUGUAGCGGUGGAAUGCGCAGAUAUCAGGAGGAACACCAAUAGCGAAGGCAGCUCGCUGGGACGGUACUGACGCUAAGGCGCGAAAGCGUGGGGAGCGAACAGG